AGGGUUUGAUCAUGGCUCAGAACGAACGCUGGCGGCAGGCCUAACACAUGCAAGUCGAGCGCGCCUUUCGAGGUGAGCGGCGGACGGGUUAGUAACGCGUGGGAAUAUACCCUUUUCUACGGAAUAGCCUCUGGAAACGGAGAGUAAUACCGUAUGAGCCCUUCGGGGGAAAGAUUUAUCGGGAAAGGAUUAGCCCGCGUUAGAUUAGGUAGUUGGUGGGGUAAUGGCCUACCAAGCCUACGAUCUAUAGCUGGUUUUAGAGGAUGAUCAGCAACACUGGGACUGAGACACGGCCCAGACUCCUACGGGAGGCAGCAGUGGGGAAUCUUGGACAAUGGGGGCAACCCUGAUCCAGCCAUGCCGCGUGAGUGAUGAAGGCCUUAGGGUCGUAAAGCUCUUUCGCCUGUGAAGAUAAUGACGGUAGCAGGUAAAGAAACCCCGGCUAACUCCGUGCCAGCAGCCGCGGUAAUACGGAGGGGGUUAGCGUUGUUCGGAAUUACUGGGCGUAAAGCGCACGUAGGCGGACUGGAAAGUUGGGGGUGAAAUCCCAGGGCUCAACCCUGGAACUGCCUCCAAAACUAUCAGUCUAGAGUUCGAGAGAGGUGAGUGGAAUUCCGAGUGUAGAGGUGAAAUUCGUAGAUAUUCGGAGGAACACCAGUGGCGAAGGCGGCUCACUGGCUCGAUACUGACGCUGAGGUGCGAAAGUGUGGGGAGCAAACAGGAUUAGAUACCC
RNAcentral lists this ribosomal RNA (733 nucleotides) under uncultured bacterium. Its description in RNAcentral is "bacterial SSU rRNA". It matches the Rfam family "Bacterial small subunit ribosomal RNA", at positions 8 to 787 of the family's 1533-position model. The record is from RNAcentral.